GUACACUCCUGCGGGAGGCAGCAGUGGGGAAUAUUGGGCAAUGGGCGCAAGCCUGAUCCAGCCAUGCCGCGUGAGUGAUGAAGGCCCUAGGGUUGUAAAGCUCUUUCACCGGUGAAGAUAAUGACGGUAACCGGAGAAGAAGCCCCGGCUAACUUCGUGCCAGCAGCCGCGGUAAUACGAAGGGGGCUAGCGUUGUUCGGAUUUACUGGGCGUAAAGCGCACGUAGGCGGACUAUUAAGUCAGGGGUGAAAUCCCGGGGCUCAACCCCGGAACUGCCUUUGAUACUGGUAGUCUUGAGUUCGAGAGAGGUGAGUGGAAUUCCGAGUGUAGAGGUGAAAUUCGUAGAUAUUCGGAGGAACACCAGUGGCGAAGGCGGCUCACUGGCUCGAUACUGACGCUGAGGUGCGAAAGCGUGGGGAGCAAACAGGAUUAGAAACCCUAGUAGUCCCA
This 450-nucleotide ribosomal RNA is filed under the name uncultured organism. RNAcentral's name for it is "partial 16S ribosomal RNA". It matches the Rfam family "Bacterial small subunit ribosomal RNA", at positions 331 to 797 of the family's 1533-position model. The record is from RNAcentral.